CCUACGGGGGGCAGCAGUGGGGAAUAUUGCACAAUGGGGGAAACCCUGAUGCAGCGACGCCGCGUGAGUGAAGAAGUACCUCGGGAUGUAAAGCUCUUUCAGCAGGGAAGAAAAAAGACGGUACCUGACUAAGAAGCCCCGGCUAACUACGUGCCAGCAGCCGCGGUAAUACGGAGGGGGCAAGCGUUAUCCGGAUUUACUGGGGGUAAAGGGAGCGUAGGCGGCGCGGCAAGCCAGAAGUGAAAGGCAGGGGCUUAACACCUGAACUGCUUAGGAAACUGCCAUGCUAGAGUGCUGGAGAGGUAAGUGGAAUUCCUAGUGUAGCGGUGAAAGGCGUAGAUAUUAGGAAGAACACCAGUGGCGAAGGCGGCUUACUGGACAGUAACUGACGUUGAGGCUCGAAAGCGUGGGGAGCAAACAGGAUUAGAUACCCUAGUAGUC
This 441-nucleotide ribosomal RNA is filed under the name uncultured bacterium. RNAcentral's name for it is "partial 16S ribosomal RNA". It matches the Rfam family "Bacterial small subunit ribosomal RNA", at positions 338 to 795 of the family's 1533-position model. The record is from RNAcentral.